CCCAAGUGGUGUAUCUCUCAACAUAACAAGCAUAUCUGCAUUCCUAAACUCCUCAACGAAAGCUCCAAACUUUGUGGUCGAACUCAUACAGAGUAGUCCCACGUCGCUUGUUCUCAUUCUCGACCUCCCACAUCGGAAAGACCUUGUUCUUAACCCGGACUAUCUCAAGGAAUAUUACCAAGACACCGCUCUUGAUUCUCAUCGUCAAUCUCUCCUUAAGCUUCCUGAAAUCACA
Molecule: long non-coding RNA, 235 nt
Filed under: Eutrema salsugineum
Lineage: Eukaryota; Viridiplantae; Streptophyta; Magnoliopsida; Brassicales; Brassicaceae
Description: long non-coding RNA (ESAL_LNC002020)
Source: RNAcentral